This 83-nucleotide small RNA is filed under the name Marmota monax (woodchuck). The record is from RNAcentral. Lineage: Eukaryota; Metazoa; Chordata; Mammalia; Rodentia; Sciuridae.
GCCGGGCGCCGUGGCGCACACCUGUAAUCCCAGUGACUCAGGAGGCUGAGGCCGGAGGAUGGAGAGUUCAGAGCCAGCCUCAG